RNAcentral lists this ribosomal RNA (433 nucleotides) under uncultured bacterium. Its description in RNAcentral is "partial 16S ribosomal RNA". It matches the Rfam family "Bacterial small subunit ribosomal RNA", at positions 29 to 507 of the family's 1533-position model. The record is from RNAcentral.
AACGAACGCUGGCGGCAUGCCUAACACAUGCAAGUCGAACGAGACCUUCAGGGUUAGAGUCGCACUGCUGCGUAACGCCUGGCAACCUGCCCUUAGGUUCGGAAUAACUCCCCGAAAGGGGUGCUAAUACCGGAUAAUGUCUUCGGUCCAAAGGUUUAUCGCCUUUGGAUGUGCCCGCGUUGGAAUAGCUAGGUGGUAGGGUAAAAGCCUACCAAGGCGACGAGCCAUAGCUGGUCUGAGAGGAUGAUCAGCCACACUGGGACUGAGACACGGCCCAGACUCCUACGGGAGGCAGCAGUGGGGAAUAUUAGACAGUCGUCGAGAGCCUGAUCCAGCAAUGCCGCGUGAGUGAUGAAGGCCUUAGGGUUGUAAAGCUCUUUUACCCGUGAUGAUAUUGACAGUACCGGAAGAAUAAGCUCCGGCUAACUCCGUG